Molecule: long non-coding RNA, 637 nt
Filed under: Populus trichocarpa (black cottonwood)
Lineage: Eukaryota; Viridiplantae; Streptophyta; Magnoliopsida; Malpighiales; Salicaceae
Description: long non-coding RNA (PTRI_LNC004766)
Source: RNAcentral
GGUUACAUUUCCAUCUCUCUUGAUGAACAAGGCAAAAUCAAUCGUUGGAACUUGAAAGUAUCAGUAACAAUCUUGAAGAGGCAAGUUUAUCCACAGCAUGCAACUUUUAGUUAUUGGAAAACGUUAUCAACCAUACCGACUGGCGAUAAAUUAAUUGCUGUCAUAACACAGCAUGAAAUAGUCUUAUCAGUUUGAGUUUUACGUGCAUUUGUGUUUUUACUUUGAUAUUGCAAAAUGUAGGGUCUAACACUUAUCCCUAAAUGCAGCAAUCUGGAGCUUUUCAUGUGGAUCUUGGACGCUGGUCACUGCUAUCCUUUGGACCUGAAGUUCGCCGAGCAUAUGGUUCCUCUAGAUUUUUCUUCAUAAGCAGCAUACUUGGAGGAAUUUCAGGCAAGCUUUCUUAUCAAACCAGAGCCAACUGUUGGUGGGACAGUAAGGAUAAACUGGUUUUGUUACACUCUCCUACAUCAUUGGUUGAAGCCUUUUUUAACUUGCUACAUUCUAAAGGACACAUUUGGGAGCAGUUUAGACAGGCAUAGUUUAUGGGUUCUCCGGGCUUCCCACCACUUUCUCAUACGAAAAAAAAUCACCGGACAAAUCAUGAUAACCGAGUUUUUUUCUUAUAAGUCUUUACAUG